UGCAGUCGAGCGGUAACAUUUCUAGCUUGCUAGAAGAUGACGAGCGGCGGACGGGUGAGUAAUGCUUGGGAAUAUGCCUUAUGGUGGGGGACAACAGUUGGAAACGACUGCUAAUACCGCAUAAUGUCUACGGACCAAAGGGGGGGAUCUUCGGACCUCUCGCCAUUUGAUUAGCCCAAGUGAGAUUAGGUAGUUGGUGUGGUAAUGGCGCACCAAGCCGACGAUCCUUAGCUGGUCUGAGAGGAUGAUCAGCCACACUGGGACUGAGACACGGCCCAGACUCCUACGGGAGGCAGCAGUAGGGAAUAUUGGACAAUGGGCGAAAGCCUGAUCCAGCAAUGCCGCGUGAGUGAUGAAGGCCUUAGGGUUGUAAAGCUCUUUUACCAGGGAUGAUAAUGACAGUACCUGGAGAAUAAGCUCCGGCUAACUCCGUGCCAGCAGCCGCGGUAAUACGGAGGGAGCUAGCGUUGUUCGGAAUUACUGGGCGUAAAGCGCGCGUAGGCGGCUAUCCAAGUCAGGGGUGAAAUCCCGGGGCUCAACCCCGGAACUGCCUCUGAAACUAGGUAGCUAGAAUACUGGAGAGGUGAGUGGAAUUCCGAGUGUAGAGGUGAAAUUCGUAGAUAUUC
Molecule: ribosomal RNA, 626 nt
Filed under: uncultured bacterium
Lineage: Bacteria
Description: bacterial SSU rRNA
Rfam family: Bacterial small subunit ribosomal RNA
Source: RNAcentral